This 253-nucleotide ribosomal RNA is filed under the name uncultured bacterium. RNAcentral's name for it is "partial 16S ribosomal RNA". It matches the Rfam family "Bacterial small subunit ribosomal RNA", at positions 524 to 776 of the family's 1533-position model. The record is from RNAcentral.
UACGUAGGUGGCAAGCGUUGUCCGGAUUUAUUGGGUUUAAAGGGUGCGUAGGCGGUCUAUUAAGUCAGUUGUGAAAUACGGCAGCUCAACUGUCGAGGUGCAAUUGAUACUGAUGGACUUGAGUACUGAUGAGGUAAGCGGAAUGGACGGUGUAGCGGUGAAAUGCGUAGAGAUCGGGAGGAACAUCUGUGGCGAAGGCGGCCACCUGGACCAGCACUGACACUGAGGCACGAAAGCGUGGGGAGCAAACAGG